RNAcentral lists this ribosomal RNA (462 nucleotides) under uncultured bacterium. RNAcentral describes it as "partial 16S ribosomal RNA". It matches the Rfam family "Bacterial small subunit ribosomal RNA", at positions 29 to 507 of the family's 1533-position model. The record is from RNAcentral.
AGUGAACGCUGGCGGCGUGCCUAAUACAUGCAAGUCGAACGGAGAUUAAGUAGCUUGCUAUUUUAUCUUAGUGGCGCACGGGUGAGUAAUAUAUAGCUAACUUGCCCAUUACUAAGGGACAACAGUUGGAAACGACUGCUAAUACCUUAUACUCCGUAUCUAUAUAAGUAGAUACGGGAAAGUUUUUCGGUAAUGGAUAGGGCUAUAUCGUAUCAGCUAGUUGGUAAGGUAAUGGCUUACCAAGGCUAUGACGCGUAACUGGUCUGAGAGGAUGAUCAGUCACACUGGAACUGAGACACGGUCCAGACUCCUACGGGAGGCAGCAGUAGGGAAUAUUGCUCGAUGGAGGAAACCCUGAGGCAGCAACGCCGCGUGGAGGAUGACACUUUUCGGAGCGUAAACUCCUUUUCUUGGGAAAGAAUUAUGACGGUACCCAAGAAAUAAGCACCGGCUAACUCCGUG